This 273-nucleotide ribosomal RNA is filed under the name uncultured bacterium. RNAcentral's name for it is "partial 16S ribosomal RNA". It matches the Rfam family "Bacterial small subunit ribosomal RNA", at positions 524 to 796 of the family's 1533-position model. The record is from RNAcentral.
UACGGAGGGUGCAAGCGUUAUCCGGAUUCACUGGGUUUAAAGGGUGCGUAGGAGGGCAGGUAAGUCAGUGGUGAAAUCCCCGUGCUUAACAUGGGAACUGCCGUUGAUACUAUCUGUCUUGAAUACCGUGGAGGUGAGCGGAAUAUGUCAUGUAGCGGUGAAAUGCUUAGAUAUGACAUAGAACACCGAUUGCGAAGGCAGCUCGCUACACGAAUAUUGACUCUGAGGCACGAAAGCGUGGGGAUCAAACAGGAUUAGAUACCCCCGUAGUCC